This 2928-nucleotide ribosomal RNA is filed under the name Salmonella enterica subsp. enterica serovar Enteritidis. RNAcentral's name for it is "23S ribosomal RNA". It matches the Rfam family "Bacterial large subunit ribosomal RNA". Lineage: Bacteria; Pseudomonadati; Pseudomonadota; Gammaproteobacteria; Enterobacterales; Enterobacteriaceae. The record is from RNAcentral.
GGGUUGUGAGGUUAAGCGACUAAGCGUACACGGUGGAUGCCCUGGCAGUCAGAGGCGAUGAAGGGCGUGCUAAUCUGCGAUAAGCGCCGGUAAGGUGAUAUGAACCGUUAUAACCGGCGAUACCCGAAUGGGGAAACCCAGUGUGAUUCGUCACACUAUCAUUAACUGAAUCCAUAGGUUAAUGAGGCGAACCGGGGGAACUGAAACAUCUAAGUACCCCGAGGAAAAGAAAUCAACCGAGAUUCCCCCAGUAGCGGCGAGCGAACGGGGAGGAGCCCAGAGCCUGAAUCAGCAUGUGUGUUAGUGGAAGCGUCUGGAAAGGCGCGCGAUACAGGGUGACAGCCCCGUACACAAAAGCGCAUGUGCUGUGAGCUCGAUGAGUAGGGCGGGACACGUGGUAUCCUGUCUGAAUAUGGGGGGACCAUCCUCCAAGGCUAAAUACUCCUGACUGACCGAUAGUGAACCAGUACCGUGAGGGAAAGGCGAAAAGAACCCCGGCGAGGGGAGUGAAAAAGAACCUGAAACCGUGUACGUACAAGCAGUGGGAGCACAGGUUUACCUGUGUGACUGCGUACCUUUUGUAUAAUGGGUCAGCGACUUAUAUUCUGUAGCAAGGUUAACCGAAUAGGGGAGCCGGAGGGAAACCGAGUCUUAAUUGGGCGUUAAGUUGCAGGGUAUAGACCCGAAACCCGGUGAUCUAGCCAUGGGCAGGUUGAAGGUUGGGUAACACUAACUGGAGGACCGAACCGACUAAUGUUGAAAAAUUAGCGGAUGACCUGUGGCUGGGGGUGAAAGGCCAAUCAAACCGGGAGAUAGCUGGUUCUCCCCGAAAGCUAUUUAGGUAGCGCCUCGUGAAUUCAUCUCCGGGGGUAGAGCACUGUUUCGGCUAGGGGGCCAUCCCGGCUUACCAACCCGAUGCAAACUGCGAAUACCGGAGAAUGUUAUCACGGGAGACACACGGCGGGUGCUAACGUCCGUCGUGAAGAGGGAAACAACCCAGACCGCCAGCUAAGGUCCCAAAGUCAUGGUUAAGUGGGAAACGAUGUGGGAAGGCCCAGACAGCCAGGAUGUUGGCUUAGAAGCAGCCAUCAUUUAAAGAAAGCGUAAUAGCUCACUGGUCGAGUCGGCCUGCGCGGAAGAUGUAACGGGGCUAAACCAUGCACCGAAGCUGCGGCAGCGACACUGUGUGUUGUUGGGUAGGGGAGCGUUCUGUAAGCCUGUGAAGGUGGCCUGUGAGGGUUGCUGGAGGUAUCAGAAGUGCGAAUGCUGACAUAAGUAACGAUAAAGCGGGUGAAAAGCCCGCUCGCCGGAAGACCAAGGGUUCCUGUCCAACGUUAAUCGGGGCAGGGUGAGUCGACCCCUAAGGCGAGGCCGAAAGGCGUAGUCGAUGGGAAACGGGUUAAUAUUCCCGUACUUGGUGUUACUGCGAAGGGGGGACGGAGAAGGCUAUGUUGGCCGGGCGACGGUUGUCCCGGUUUAAGCGUGUAGGUGUGUGUUCCAGGUAAAUCCGGUUCACUUUAACACUGAGGCGUGACGACGAGGCACUACGGUGCUGAAGCAACAAAUGCCCUGCUUCCAGGAAAAGCCUCUAAGCAUCAGGUAACAUCAAAUCGUACCCCAAACCGACACAGGUGGUCAGGUAGAGAAUACCAAGGCGCUUGAGAGAACUCGGGUGAAGGAACUAGGCAAAAUGGUGCCGUAACUUCGGGAGAAGGCACGCUGACACGUAGGUGAAGUGAUUUACUCAUGGAGCUGAAGUCAGUCGAAGAUACCAGCUGGCUGCAACUGUUUAUUAAAAACACAGCACUGUGCAAACACGAAAGUGGACGUAUACGGUGUGACGCCUGCCCGGUGCCGGAAGGUUAAUUGAUGGGGUCAGCGCAAGCGAAGCUCCUGAUCGAAGCCCCGGUAAACGGCGGCCGUAACUAUAACGGUCCUAAGGUAGCGAAAUUCCUUGUCGGGUAAGUUCCGACCUGCACGAAUGGCGUAAUGAUGGCCAGGCUGUCUCCACCCGAGACUCAGUGAAAUUGAACUCGCUGUGAAGAUGCAGUGUACCCGCGGCAAGACGGAAAGACCCCGUGAACCUUUACUAUAGCUUGACACUGAACAUUGAGCCUUGAUGUGUAGGAUAGGUGGGAGGCUUUGAAGUGUGGACGCCAGUCUGCAUGGAGCCGACCUUGAAAUACCACCCUUUAAUGUUUGAUGUUCUAACGUGGACCCGUAAUCCGGGUUGCGGACAGUGUCUGGUGGGUAGUUUGACUGGGGCGGUCUCCUCCUAAAGAGUAACGGAGGAGCACGAAGGUUGGCUAAUCCUGGUCGGACAUCAGGAGGUUAGUGCAAUGGCAUAAGCCAGCUUGACUGCGAGCGUGACGGCGCGAGCAGGUGCGAAAGCAGGUCAUAGUGAUCCGGUGGUUCUGAAUGGAAGGGCCAUCGCUCAACGGAUAAAAGGUACUCCGGGGAUAACAGGCUGAUACCGCCCAAGAGUUCAUAUCGACGGCGGUGUUUGGCACCUCGAUGUCGGCUCAUCACAUCCUGGGGCUGAAGUAGGUCCCAAGGGUAUGGCUGUUCGCCAUUUAAAGUGGUACGCGAGCUGGGUUUAGAACGUCGUGAGACAGUUCGGUCCCUAUCUGCCGUGGGCGCUGGAGAACUGAGGGGGGCUGCUCCUAGUACGAGAGGACCGGAGUGGACGCAUCACUGGUGUUCGGGUUGUCAUGCCAAUGGCACUGCCCGGUAGCUAAAUGCGGAAGAGAUAAGUGCUGAAAGCAUCUAAGCACGAAACUUGCCCCGAGAUGAGUUCUCCCUGAGACUUAAAGUCUCCUGAAGGAACGUUGAAGACGACGACGUUGAUAGGCCGGGUGUGUAAGCGCAGCGAUGCGUUGAGCUAACCGGUACUAAUGAACCGUGAGGCUUAACCUUACAACGCCGAAG